UGUUCAGAUGGAGUCUUUACUUC
This 23-nucleotide non-coding RNA is filed under the name Rattus norvegicus (Norway rat). Lineage: Eukaryota; Metazoa; Chordata; Mammalia; Rodentia; Muridae. The record is from RNAcentral.